GUGAAUCAUCAAAUUUUUGAACGCAAAUUGCACUCUCCUCGGAGAGUAUGACUGUUUGAGGGUCAGCCUAUAAAAAAUCGACUUCGUUGCUGUUUCGCGGUGACGUUCGUCGGUAAUUGGGUCAUCUUACAUCCUUUUGGCUUUAAGUGAAUUAAAAAUUUCUUUUUGGUUCCAUGUAUGUUUCUAAGAUUUAUUUUUUUACCCGUUUAUGGUAUCGAUUUUUAUUAGACGUGACCAUCAUAUCGGAUCGUGUCCAUAAUCUUUCAUUACCUGACUUC
This 278-nucleotide unclassified non-coding RNA is filed under the name Glomeraceae sp. Its description in RNAcentral is "partial contains 5.8S ribosomal RNA and internal transcribed spacer 2". The stretch from base 1 to 65 matches the Rfam family "5.8S ribosomal RNA", at positions 84 to 154 of the family's 154-position model. The record is from RNAcentral. Lineage: Eukaryota; Fungi; Glomeromycota; Glomeromycetes; Glomerales; Glomeraceae.